Molecule: long non-coding RNA, 1870 nt
Organism: Panicum virgatum (switchgrass)
Lineage: Eukaryota; Viridiplantae; Streptophyta; Magnoliopsida; Poales; Poaceae
Exons: 2
Source: RefSeq, a predicted model, not a curated record
GUUGCCGCUCAAUCACCAAAAUCACAAACAAUGGCCUAAAUGGUGCCAUGUUCGUUACACACAGUACUACUAAAGGUUGGCGCAGUUGGAGAGAGUUGACUCAGGUCACAUGCACAGUACUACUAAAGUACCUGAUCUGCACUGCAAGUCCUCGCCCCAAGUCUUCCAUGGAAAGGUUGGCGUUCGUUUUUGUUAGAUAUUUCCUGCCGUGAAAGGCCAGGCACAAGAAUAUUCUCAUCUUCUGAGCUCUAAAGUCUUCCGAGCGCUUCCAAAAAAAAGAAGUCUUCCGAGCACAAGGCUGUCAUGUCCUUUUUUCCAAUCGAACAUCUUGGCUGCUUCCAGCUUGCACGCUUGAUGUAUAACGUUGCAAGUGAUACCGCAUAGUAUCGCAAAUUUAGGGGCUACAAUUUGACAUUGUCCAAUUUGUACAUGUUCGAUCUUUGUUAGUGUCCUUUCACUACUGUCCCUUCUAGUCUUCAAAGACAGAGCACCAAUUUAGAAAAAAAGUUAUCUGGUGAUUAGGAUCGCAUGGCCUAGUACAAAUCUACAAAUGCGUCUCAACCGUCACAAACUAAUAUUCAGUAGAAAGUGUACCACCAUAGAAUUGUGGUCUAGAUAUGUACAAAUUUUUGAAAUAAGUAUAGAAAAUAGAGUAAAAUGCACAGGAGAUCCCUAAACUUGUAAGAGUGUCCUUUUUAAGUCCGUCAACUCCGGAAGUGCAUUUCUGGAUCCAUAAACUGUUAAGUUAUUCACUAUAUGUCCAUAUGUAUGUAUCCACGUGUGCAUGUAAUCCUGACAUGACACGCUUACGAUACAUUUCUCAUCUCAUUUAUCGCCCUUUUCUCUCGAUCUAUUCGAUCCAACCCCGCUCGGGCUAUCGUGCUUUCUAUGUCGCCCUCCGAUCCGCCCACCACGUCCACUAGUGCGUCCACCGCAUGACCAGACAUGGCGCACACCAAUGUCAUCGCUGAUGUGGCUCCACCCUCCACAGCGGGAGGCACCCCAAGUGGCGGCCUUGGGUGGCCCCAUCAAGUGGUGGGAUUGACAAGCAACCCACCAGCCAAGAGGAAGAGGAGGGAGACAGCAUGGUGGAGAAAAAAAUCAGAGGCAAAUGCGUCAAUUCUCAUCAUAAUCCAUGUUGGUAGUCUUGGAAACGUACAAUCAACGUGCCAUAUUAGCGUCACGUGCAUACAUGGAUAUAUAUGGACAUGUAGUGAACAACUUAAAAACUUUAUGGAUCCUGAAAUGCAGUUUCAGAGUUUUUGGACCUAAGAAGUGACACACCCUCGUAGGUUUAGAGACUGUCGGUGUAUUUUACUAGAAAAUAAUUAGACACUUUGAAAUUGAUUUGCAAAGAUAUGGGCUUGUAACUAUUUUUUCCCUGAUAAUUUUUAGGUAGAGUAAACUGCAUCUCCGUUUGGUUUCCACGAUACUUUAUGCUACUAUACUGUACUAAGGUAAUUUGUUCUAUGCAGAUACUCGAGGAGUAAUCAAAAUCGGGACAGGAAUUGCAGCAGCAGCUCUUCUGUUUGUGAUCAUACUGACCGUUCUCUCCCUUCAGAUCAAGCUACGCAAGAGACGGUAUAGAGGCAAUGAAUCUAAUAUAGAGGAAAUACUAAAGGGAUAUGAUUCUCUCAUCCCAAAAAGGUACAGAUACUCGGAUCUAAAGAAAAUAACUGGAUCCUUCAAAGAUAAUCUGGGAGAAGGUGGCUAUGGCACGGUAUUCAAGGGUAAUUUAAAAGAUGGCCGCAAGGUUGCCGUGAAACUACUGAAGCAAUCAAAAGGAAAUGGAGAGGAGUUCGUGAAUGAGGUUGUAAGUUUCCGUAAGACAUCACAUGUCAAUAUUGUUAACUUACUCGGUUUUUGUUUA